Molecule: ribosomal RNA, 647 nt
Filed under: Leuconostoc sp. B 243
Lineage: Bacteria; Bacillati; Bacillota; Bacilli; Lactobacillales; Lactobacillaceae
Description: bacterial SSU rRNA
Rfam family: Bacterial small subunit ribosomal RNA
Source: RNAcentral
GACAGCGNAAGGUGCUUGCACCUUUCAGUGAGUGGCGAACGGGUGAGUAACACGUGGACAACCUGCCUCAAGGCUGGGGAUAACAUUUGGAAACAGAUGCUAAUACCGAAUAAAACUUAGUGUCGCAUGACACAAAGUUAAAAGGCGCUUCGGCGUCACCUAGAGAUGGAUCCGCGGUGCAUUAGUUAGUUGGUGGGGUAAAGGCCUACCAAGACAAUGAUGCAUAGCCGAGUUGAGAGACUGAUCGGCCACAUUGGGACUGAGACACGGCCCAAACUCCUACGGGAGGCUGCAGUAGGGAAUCUUCCACAAUGGGCGAAAGCCUGAUGGAGCAACGCCGCGUGUGUGAUGAAGGCUUUCGGGUCGUAAAGCACUGUUGUAUGGGAAGAACAGCUAGAAUAGGAAAUGAUUUUAGUUUGACGGUACCAUACCAGAAAGGGACGGCUAAAUACGUGCCAGCAGCCGCGGUAAUACGUAUGUCCCGAGCGUUAUCCGGAUUUAUUGGGCGUAAAGCGAGCGCAGACGGUUUAUUAAGUCUGAUGUGAAAGCCCGGAGCUCAACUCCGGAAUGGCAUUGGAAACUGGUUAACUUGAGUGCAGUAGAGGUAAGUGGAACUCCAUGUGUAGCGGUGAAAUGGCGUAGAUAAA